This 468-nucleotide ribosomal RNA is filed under the name uncultured bacterium. Its description in RNAcentral is "partial 16S ribosomal RNA". It matches the Rfam family "Bacterial small subunit ribosomal RNA", at positions 28 to 507 of the family's 1533-position model. The record is from RNAcentral.
GACGAGCGCUGGCGGCGUGCUUAACACAUGCAAGUCGAACGGAAAGGCCCUGCUUUUGUGGGGUGCUCGAGUGGCGAACGGGUGAGUAACACGUGAGUAACCUGCCCUUGACUUUGGGAUAACUUCAGGAAACUGGGGCUAAUACCGGAUAGGAGCUCCUGCUGCAUGGUGGGGGUUGGAAAGUUUCGGCGGUUGGGGAUGGACCCGCGGCUUAUCAGCUUGUUGGUGGGGUAGUGGCUUACCAAGGCUUUGACGGGUAGCCGGCCUGAGAGGGUGACCGGCCACAUUGGGACUGAGAUACGGCCCAGACUCCUACGGGAGGCAGCAGUGGGGAAUAUUGCACAAUGGGCGGAAGCCUGAUGCAGCAACGCCGCGUGCGGGAUGACGGCCUUCGGGUUGUAAACCGCUUUCGCCUGUGACGAAGCGUGAGUGACGGUAAUGGGUAAAGAAGCACCGGCUAACUACGUG